Erinaceus europaeus (western European hedgehog) is the source of this 381-nucleotide non-coding RNA. The record is from the annotation of a RefSeq genome assembly. Lineage: Eukaryota; Metazoa; Chordata; Mammalia; Eulipotyphla; Erinaceidae.
ACACAGUCUGCUGUCUGACUCUGGACCCCAGGUUACACCAGAAUUAUGAAAUUACUGGCAGUUCUUGCUAUUCUCCUAACAUGGGGUAUGAUGAAUGAUGCUAAGACCACACAGCAAAGCUCAUUGCAGAGUACUGAGGGAGAACGUGUGCACUUGCCUUGUGAACACUCCACUAUCGGUGGGAAUGAGUACAUCUACUGGUAUCGACAGAUGCACCACAAGGGUCCAGAGUACCUGAUUCGUGGUUUAAAAACCAAUGGGUCCAAUGACAUGGUUUUUCUGGCCAUUACAACAGACAGAAAAUCCAGCACCUUGAUCCUUCCUCAGGUCGCCAUGAGAGACUCUGCUGUGUACUACUGCAUGGUGGCAGAUGCACAGUGA